ACAGCAGUCGCCGCGGGAAUACGUAGGUCCCGAGCGUUGUCCGGAUUUAUUGGGCGUAAAGCGAGCGCAGGCGGUUAGAUAAGUCUGAAGUUAAAGGCUGUGGCUUAACCAUAGUACGCUUUGGAAACUGUUUAACUUGAGUGCAAGAGGGGAGAGUGGAAUUCCAUGUGUAGCGGUGAAAUGCGUAGAUAUAUGGAGGAACACCGGUGGCGAAAGCGGCUCUCUGGCUUGUAACUGACGCUGAGGCUCGAAAGCGUGGGGAGCAAACAGGAUUAGAGACCCCCGUAGUCCCUGUCUCUUAUACA
RNAcentral lists this ribosomal RNA (305 nucleotides) under uncultured bacterium. RNAcentral describes it as "partial 16S ribosomal RNA". It matches the Rfam family "Bacterial small subunit ribosomal RNA", at positions 508 to 808 of the family's 1533-position model. The record is from RNAcentral.